Long non-coding RNA from Trematomus bernacchii (emerald rockcod), 1737 nucleotides. RefSeq lists it as uncharacterized. The transcript has 3 exons. Lineage: Eukaryota; Metazoa; Chordata; Actinopteri; Perciformes; Nototheniidae. The record is from RefSeq and is a predicted model, not a curated record.
CACAAGGUUUGACCGUUGAAAGAGAACAAAGUUCACAUCGUCAACAACAACAGUGGGGGCAUUUCUGCCAAUGAGAGAGAGGGACGGGAGCAAAAGAAAGACAGAACGAGAGAAAAUCACAGUACCUGCUUUACCUCUGGAUUACACCCACCAUAUUUCUCCCUGAGGAAUUAUUCUGUGGAUUAUCUCACUUCCUUCACCGGUGAAACCUGAUGUGACACCCCGACGCUGACUGAGUUUUAAAACUUUUAGGUCUUGAAGUUAUGUGACAGCCAUUGCAAAUAUGUCACCUUUGACCUCCACUUAAUUCCUGGCUAUGAUACCAUUUCAUUUGAGUACCGACAGCUGCCAGGACAACUAUGUUUUAGCUCACUGAUAAUAUUUGGCAGCCAUCUGUAAAUCAUUACCAUCUGCAUCCCUUCAAACCUGUCUCUGGGGAACCUGAAACUCAGCAUGGAGGUGCUGAGCGGCCCCUGGGCUGAUUUGGCUCUGCUCCUUCGACAGACCAUGGUGCAGACAGACAGAGAGACAGACAGCUUCUUCCCUCUCUGGCUGUUUGGUCUGCUGCUGUUCCUGUCUGUCUGCCUGAUGCUGCUGCAACUGAUCGUCUACCUCAGCUGGAAGAUCAGACAGGUUGAGGAGGAUGUGGUGGUAGAAAACAGAAGCGCCAUCUACCGGCAGAUGAACAGGAGUGCAGACCGGAGCAGGAGGAGUGUUGGGUAGCGCUCAGCUGACGGCACACACGCACGCACACACUCUGACAGCACAGCACACACACACAUUUUCUUCACCAACCACACUGAAAACAGAAGCAUAAACCUUCUGAAAUCAUCACUUUUCUGUCACAUUGCACGGACAUCUCUACAAAUCAGUGUGAUAAUAAAUAUCAACUCAAUCAGGAAGACUUUAUCUCAGCCAUCAUAAAAGUGCCUUAAGAUGAUGAAUGUUGAAGCGUCUAAAGAAAAACCAUUAACUCUGAAAAAAGAUGUGAUAAUGACGACAGUUCUUUUAAACUUCAUGUUAAUCUUGAAUAUUACCUUUUCUGUCAUCGUUAUGAAGCUAAAAGCAUCAUAAAGCUUUCUUUAAAGCUUGGGAGAAAGUUUGAGAAACUGUGUUGAAAAGAUAAUUUGUUUGUAUUACUGUACCUUUAUGUUUCAUUAUUAGAAUAUCUCAACCGAGAAAACUAGUUUUAUGAGAAUUAGCAUACAGGAUUGACAUUUUAUACAACAAAUUAACCUAUGAAAGAAUAAAAAAUGAUGUGACCAACAGAUUUCAGAGUAUAACAAUCCUUUAUUUAAACAGUGUUACACAGGGGAGGAGUGGCUGUGCGUGGGGGACACAAGACAAUAAGCUGCUAGAUAGAAAAACCCUUCCGAUGAUCAUUGGUUGGCUAAAGAGAGAACAAUGAGGCAGCUGUGGUUGGUUUUCCAAAGUGUUUUUUGUUUUAUACAAAGUUUUUCUUUUGAGAUUUUAAGUCAUUGAAAUACAAAAUGAUGCUGGUUGUAUUGGUCAUUGAAAUGGUCAAAUCUGUGGUACAAAGCAUGAGAUAAUCAUCUACUUCAUCAGCCUCAUACAAGAAAACAACAACAUACUGUCUUUUGAUUAUAUAUUAUUAAUACCAUCUCUUUCUGUUAUUAAUGUUACCAUGUUUGUAUGGAGCUGCCACUGGUUACAUACUGAUAACUUUCAUCGGUUUGUCUAUAAUGUGUUUAAUGUUAAUAAAAUUACUUAUAGAAA